AGAACGAACGCUGGCGGCAUGCCUAAUACAUGCAAGUCGAACGAACUCUUCGGAGUUAGUGGCGCACGGGUGCGUAACGCGUGGGAAUCUGCCCCUUGGUUCGGAAUAACAGUUGGAAACGACUGCUAAUACCGGAUGAUGACGAAAGUCCAAAGAUUUAUCGCCAAGGGAUGAGCCCGCGUAGGAUUAGCUAGUUGGUGAGGUAAAGGCUCACCAAGGCAACGAUCCUUAGCUGGUCUGAGAGGACGAUCAGCCACACUGGGACUGAGACACGGCCCAGACUCCUACGGGAGGCAGCAGCAGGGAAUAUUGGACAAU
Molecule: ribosomal RNA, 318 nt
Filed under: uncultured soil bacterium
Lineage: Bacteria
Description: bacterial SSU rRNA
Rfam family: Bacterial small subunit ribosomal RNA
Source: RNAcentral